AUGACGGACAUGGUUUCUUUUUGUUUUAAAAAUCAAUUUGAUUGGCCACAGGAAACGUAUCUUGGCAUCUCUAGGAGACAGGCUGCACGACGAUCCACCACAGAAGCCCCCUCGGUCCAUCACCCUCAGGGUAAGUACCCAGCAUGCUUGUUUUGUCCUCCACUCUUAUCCCCGAAAAUUAUUUUGUGCCAUAAAAUAAAAAUGAUUACGCAGUGGGUCAGGAAGUACAGGCUGUUUUCCAUGUAGCCUACCUCACCUGUAUAAAAAACUAUCUCGCCUUUGAUAGUGUUUUCUACGAAAAGAUUUGUUUUUCUCGGUUGGUUAAAUAUAUAUUUUUGAGAUUUAAAUUAACAUCUGAAAAACCACCACCUUUAAAGAACCUCUCCGCUACCCCGCAUCCCACACACCCCUCUACACCAAGAGAAGAAAUGAGUUUUCUGUCAAACUCCUCAAACCCACAGGUAGAAAAUCGAUGAGGACCAGAGUUAAGUAAAAGAUCAAUUUAAAAUUAACCUUAGGGUCUUCUGUUUUUUAAGAAGUGAAAAUUUUUCAGCUUUGCCCACUUCAAAAAUUAAGAACAGAGAAUCUAGAACUUUAUUUAGUAAACUGUUUCAGCUGUAUUUUAGAAUUAUGGGGUAGAAAAACUAGGAGGAAGAGAGAAAUAAAGUGGAAGAGGAACGAAGGCAAGAAAGAGCAGAGGGAAGGAGACAGAGAGAAGAUUGCCAGGCAGAAUGGCAGCGGAAGGAGUAGCCAGUGGUCGCUGAUGUUCAUGAGGCCUGUAGAAACGUUUCAAAAAUUUACCAUAAAGGCAGGAUCACCAUGACCAGUUGGAGAGUUCCAACUCUGUUCUCUUUAUUGAGUCCUGCACUUGCUUGCUUCUGAUUCCUUUUCUGCAAGUGUCAGAAAGGGUAGUGAUAAUAAACGAACACAAAAGUAGCACUUAGAUGUCACUGCCAGCGAUGAAAUGCAGUUGAAUGCCUCUUAUCAGUGGACUUCAGCAAACAGUAACUACUGUCAGUAUCACAGAGGAUCGAGCAGGAGAGGAGCUGUUAAGAUUUUAAAGCUGAUUCAGUUUUAAAGGAAAAGAAAAUACACAAAGACUUCAGGAAAUGCAAGAGAAUUGGCUCCAGGAGGGCCAUGAGGAAAACUGACGAUUGGGACAGUUGGAAUACACUGGUUUAUUUGGAGGCUAGUGAGGGCUUAGGGAGUAGUGAAGAUAGAAGAGGACCUAUUUCUCCCUCAGUAAGAAAAAUAAAUUGGGGGAAAAUAAGGCUAGAAAGGGAUUAUCGUUUUUGCCUUUGUUUUGCUACACAAAAGAGGAGAAAGAUACAGGCACCAUCAGUGUAACCAUCCUAAAAUGACCCUCUCGAGGAGUAAUUCCCUGCUACUUACCCUACUGUCUUUCCUUCCUCUGCUGAACCUCUCCCUCUGGCUCUCUGGAAGAGAUUUAGGGAAACAACAGACAAAUGAAAGACAGAAGUUCCCAAGAAAAAGUGUAGGACCUUAAUCCAUCAAAGGAGGUCCAGAACAUCUUGGGGAGAAGUAGCCUGGAGAAUCGGCACGAUCCAAUCCUCCACUUACUUGCACACAUCAGAGCCCAGCUGUCUUCCCCCCUUUAUCUUACUUCUUUUUUUUUUUUUUUUUUUUUUUUUU
This is a long non-coding RNA of Delphinapterus leucas (beluga whale), 1653 nucleotides long. The record is from Ensembl. NCBI's taxonomy places the organism in Eukaryota, Metazoa, Chordata, Mammalia, Artiodactyla, Monodontidae.